UUGGAGGGCAAGUCUGGUGCCAGCAGCCGCGGUAAUUCCAGCUCCAAUAGCGUAUAUUAAAGUUGUUGCAGUUAAAAAGCUCGUAGUUGAAUUUCGGGGUUCUACCGUUGGUCGGGCUACCAAGUCUGUACUGAUGUGUAGAAUUUCUACCUUCUGGGGAACCAUCAUGUUAUUAAUUUAGCGUGGUGGGAAACCAGGACCUUUACCUUGAAAAAAUUAGAGUGUUCAAAGCAGGCUUACGUCUGAAUACAUUAGCAUGGAAUAAUAGAAUAGGACGGUGGUCCUGUUUUGUUGGUUUCUGAAUCACCGUAAUGAUUAAUGGGGAUAGUUGGGGGCAUUAGUAUUCAAUUGUCAGAGGUGAAAUUCUUGGAUUUAUUGAAGACUAACUUCUGCGAAAGCAUUUGCCAAGGAUGUUUUCAUUAAUCAAGAACGAAAGUUAGGGGAUCGAAGACGAUCAGAUACCGUCGUAGUCUUAACCAUAAACUAUGCCGACUAGGGAUCGGACGAUGUUAACUUUUAUUGACUCGUUCGGCGCCUUACGGGAAAC
RNAcentral lists this ribosomal RNA (547 nucleotides) under uncultured Glomeromycotina. RNAcentral's name for it is "SSU rRNA". It matches the Rfam family "Eukaryotic small subunit ribosomal RNA", at positions 548 to 1098 of the family's 1831-position model. The record is from RNAcentral. Lineage: Eukaryota; Fungi; Glomeromycota.